Long non-coding RNA from Callithrix jacchus (white-tufted-ear marmoset), 4346 nucleotides. The record is from Ensembl. NCBI's taxonomy places the organism in Eukaryota, Metazoa, Chordata, Mammalia, Primates, Cebidae.
CCAUUAGUCCUUGCUACUAUGUUUGAGCGUAGGUACCAGAAAUUUUGUGAAGAGCUUUCAACCUGUAGUUCCUGACAGGUCACAGUGACUUCAUAAUUAGCGAUUCUUCUCCUCAUUUAACAGAUGAGCAAACGGAAGCUUAGAGGUUACAGGAUUUGCCCGGGGUCACAUGGCUGUGACACAACUAUGAGAACCUUGUUUUAAUUUUAGCAUCUCUUAUGUACUGCCUACCUCAUAACCUUCUUGUCUUAGUUGAUUUGUGCUGCUGUAACAAAAUAUCUCAGCCUGGAUAAUUUAUAACUGUAUGUUAAUUUCUCACUGUUCUGGAGGCUGGGAAGUCCAAGAUCAUGUGACCAUGCUGCUGGUGGUCUGUGUCUGGUGAGGGCUGGCUCUCAUCUAAGAUAGUGUUUUGUUUUGGUUUGGUUUUUUUUUUUUGCCAUAUCUUCACAUAGCAGAAGGGCAAAAAGGGCCCUGUAUGAAGCCUCUUUUAUGAGAGCCUUAAUUCCAUUCCUGAGUGAGGCACCCUCUUAAAAGCCCACCUCUUAACACCACAGCAAUGGGGAUUACAUGCCCCCAUGUAUUUUGGAGGGACACAAGUGUUCCAGCCAUAGCACUACUACUUAUCCAGCACAGCACAAUGGGACUUAAAAGUCAUUUUUCUGCUCUUGCCCUAUUUCAAGGUGGACACAGAAUCAUCAGACUUCAGAUCUUCCUCUCUCGAGUCAGCCAUGGUCUGUUCCAGGUCACAUCACUGUGGGACAGACAGAGGCUGAGGCAGGACCAGGCCUCCCCAGCCUCCACGUCGUCGUCCACACUUCUUUUCCUCAAUGUGCCUGGGGAUUCUGCAAAAUGUGAUUUCAGCUACUUUCUAGGCCAGCUGCAUAUCACUUGUUCCCAUUCGAUGCUUUGAACUGCAGAAGUUUCACUUCAUAAGAACACUCUGCGGUAAGUGGUUUUGUGCAGUUGAUCCACUGAGCAGGUAAGCACUGAUUUUAUAACACUGGUGUUUUAGAGGUUUUUUGCAGAGUUUUCUUCUUCUGAUGAUGUGAAUGUUGUUCAUGAGCCACAGGAUAUCCUAGCUGUAGGAGGGCAAGAGACUUGAAAAAUCUCAUGUGUAUAUGUCACUAUUGGCAAACAGCAUUUCAUAGUGGCAAUAGGAGGGUCCCAAUUUUUGUUUAGCUUCAUGCCUGGGAAGAAGCAAUAGUAAAGCAACCUUUGGCCAAAGGAAAAGUUAUAAGGUCCACAGAACAUGUCAAAAGUCAAGGGCAAGAAGUCUCAUAGUUUCUUAUAAAAUUAAACCUAUACCUUUUCCAUAAUUCACUAAAGCCACUGGUUUAUUUACACAAGAUAAAUUAACUUGAGUAUUUAUUCAAAAUAAAUAAAAAUGUAUGUCCACCAAAAUGCUUUUACAAGAAUGCCCAUAGUAACUAACUUUUAUUCAUAGUAACCCAAGAUGGGAAAUUUCCAUCAACAGAAGAAUGGAUAAAUAAAUUAUGUUAUAUUUACAUAAUGGCUUACUUACUACUCAAAUAUAAAAGGAAACAAACUGUAGCUAUAUGUAAUAUCAUGGGUGACUUUUACAGCAAUGAUGUGUGUGAAAGAAACCAGAUGCAAAUGAGUACAUAUGGUAUGAUUCCAUUUAUGUAAAGUUCUAAACCACACAAAACCAAUCCUUAAGGAUAAAAAUCAGAUGAGUAUCGCCUCUGGUGGGGAGGGGAAGGAUUGACUGAGAAACAGCAUGAAGGAACUUUCUAGGGUGAGGGAACUGUUCUAUAUCUUCAUAGAGUGUGGGAAACAUGGGAUUUAUAUUUGUCAAAACUCAUCAAAACCUCUUGUGACAAAAAUUCUAGAUUUUGCAUUUCACGCAACAUAAAAUGUACCUCAAAAAUUAACAAAAUCAGGGGAAGGAUACAAGAUGGCUGAAUAGGAACAGCUCUGGAGUGCAGUUCCCAGCAAGAACAACGCAGAGGGACAGAGCACCUGGGAAAGGAGGCGGUUAUGAGUUCUGCUGCAGCAGACAUAAAAGUACCUGCUCAGCAGCUCUGCAAAGAACAAUGGAGCUCCCAGCACAGCACUCGAGCUCCUAUAAGGGACAGACUAUCUCCUCAAGCAGCUCCCCAACCCCCAUAUACACAAAGAGACACCUCAUAAAGGAGAGCUCAGGCUGACAUCUGGUAGGUACCCUUGUGGGACAAAGAUAACAGAAGAAGAAACCAGCAGCAACCCUUACUGUUCUGCAGCCCCCACAGGUGAUCCCCAGGUAAACAGGGUCUGGAGUGGACCUCCAGCAGUCCUGCAGCAGAGGGGCCUGAUUGUUAGAAGGAAAACUAAGAAACAGAAAGAAAUAACUUAAUCAUCAACAAAAAGGACAUCUACUCAGAGACCCCAUCCAAAAGUCACCAACUACAAAGACCACAGGUAGAUAAAGCCACUAAGAUGAAAAGAAACCAGCACAAAAAUGAUGAAAACACCAAAAACCAGAAUACCUUUCCUCCUCCAAAGGAUCCCAACUCCUCACCAGCUAGGGAUCAGAGAUGGAUGGAGAAUGAAUCUGAUGAAUUGACAGAAACAGUCUUCAGAAGGUGGGUAAUAACAAACUUCUCAGAGCUAAAAGAACAUGUGCAAACCCAAUGCAAAGAAACUAGGAACCUAGAAAAAAAGGUUAAAUGAGAUGCUAACUAGAAUAAGCAGCUUAGAGAAGAAUAUAAACCACUUGAUGGAGCUGAAAAACACAGCAUGAGAACUUUGUGAAGCAUACACAAGUGUCAGUAGCCAAAUUGACCAAGCAGAAGAAAGGAUAUCAGAUACUGAAGAUCAACUCAAUGAAAUAAAAUUAGAAGGCAAGAAUAGAGAAAAAAAGAGUGAAAAGAAAUGAACAAAGCCUCCAAGCAAUAUGUGAUUAUGUGAAAAUACCUAAUUUACUUUUGAUAGGUAUACCUGAAUGUGAUGGAGAGAAUGAAUCCAAGCUGGAAAACACUCUUCAGGAUAUUAUCCAGGAGAACUUUCCCAAGCUAGCAAGCCAGGCCACCAUUCAAGUCCAGGAAAAACAGAAAACACCACAAAGAUAUUCCUCAAGAAGAGCAACCCCAAGGCACAUAAUCAUUGAAUUCACCAGGGUUGAAAUGAAGGAAAAAAUGCUAAGGGCAGCCAGAGAGAAAGAUUGGGUUACCCACAAAGGGAAGCCCAUCAGAUUCACAGUGGAUCUCUCCACAGAAACCCUACAAGUGAGAAGAGUGGGGGACCAAUAUUUUACAUCCUUAAAGAAAAAACUUUCAACCUAGAAUUUCAUAUCCAGCCAAACUAAGCUUCAUAAGCAAAGGAGAAAGAAAAUUCUUUAUGGACAAGCAAUUGCUGAGAGAUUUUGUCGCCACCAGCUGUGCCUUACAAGAGCUCCUGAAAGAAGCACUAAACAAGGAAAGGAACAGCCAGUCCCAACCACUCCAAAAAUGUACCAAAUGGUAAAGACCAUCGAUAUAAUGAAAAAAAAAUGCAUCAACUAAUGGGCAAAACAUCCAGCUAACAUCAAAAUGGCAGGAUCAAAUUCACACAUAACAAUAUUAGCCUUAAAUGUAAAUGGGCUAAAUGACCCAGUGAAAAGACAGACUGGCAAACUGAAUAAAAAGUCAAGACCCAUCGGUGUGCUGUAUGCAGGAAACCCAUCUCACAUGCAAGGACACACAUAGGCUCAAAAUAAAGGGAUGGAGGAAGAUUUGUCAAGCAAAUGGAGAGUGCAAAAAUAAGCAAUCCUAGUUGCAAUCCUAGUCUCUGAUAAAAUGGAUUUUAAACCAACAAAGAUCAAAAGAGAUAAAGAAGGACAUGACAUAAUGAUAAAAGGAUCAAUGCAUUCUUUUGCAUUUGCUGAGGAGUGAUUUGAAAAGCUAACCAUCCUAGAUAUAUACUUACCCAAUACCGGAGCACCCAGGUACAUAAAGCAAGUUCUUAAUGACCUACAAAGUGACUUAGACUCCCACACAAAAUAGUUGGAGACCUUAACACUCCACUGUCAAUAUUAGACAGAUCAACGAGACAGAAAAUUAACAAGCAUAUAGAGGACUUGAACUUGGAUCUGGACCAAGCAAACCUAAUAGACAUCUACAGAAAUCUCAACCCCAAAUCCAAAGAAUAUGCAUUCUUCUCAGCACCACAUGGCACCUACUCUAAAACUGACCACAUACUUGGAAGUAAAUCACUCCUCAGCCAAUGCAAAAGAAUGGAAAUCAUAACAAACAGUCUCUCAGACCACAGGGCAAUCAAAUUAGAAAUGUGAAUUAAGAAAUUAACUCAGAACCGCACAGCUUCAUGGAAAGUGAAAAACUGGCUCCUGAAUGUCGACUGGAUACACAAUG